GAUGAACGCUGGCGGCGUGCCUAAUACAUGCAAGUCGAACGCUGGAAAUCUAGCUUGCUAGAUUGAAGGAGUGGCGAACGGGUGAGUAAUACAUAAGCAACCUACCCACGAAGACUGGGAUAAUCUCUGGAAACGGGGACUAAUACCGGAUAGGUAAUCGGAAGGCAUCUUCUGAUUAUUAAAGGUUAAAAACACUGGUGGAUGGGCUUAUGGCGCAUUAGUUAGUUGGUGAGGUAACGGCCCACCAAGACGAUGAUGCGUAGCCGGCCUGAGAGGGUGAACGGCCAGAUUGGGACUGAGACACGGCCCAGACUCCUACGGGAGGCAGCAGUAGGGAAUUUUCGGCAAUGGGGGAAACCCUGACCGAGCAACGCCGCGUGAGUGAUGACGGCCUUCGGGUUGUAAAGCUCUGUUGUAAGGGAAGAACGGUAGAUAGAGAAUAUCUAAAUGACGGUACCUUACCAGAAAGCCACGGCUAACUACGUG
RNAcentral lists this ribosomal RNA (486 nucleotides) under uncultured bacterium. RNAcentral describes it as "partial 16S ribosomal RNA". It matches the Rfam family "Bacterial small subunit ribosomal RNA", at positions 28 to 507 of the family's 1533-position model. The record is from RNAcentral.